Molecule: non-coding RNA, 21 nt
Filed under: Caenorhabditis elegans
Lineage: Eukaryota; Metazoa; Nematoda; Chromadorea; Rhabditida; Rhabditidae
Source: RNAcentral
UUCUGAUCACAUACUAAUUUC